UACGUAGGGUGCGAGCGUUGUCCGGAAUUACUGGGCGUAAAGAGCUCGUAGGUGGUUUGUCGCGUUGUCCGUGAAAACUCACAACUCAAUUGUGGGCGUGCGGGCGAUACGGGCAGACUGGAGUACUGCAGGGGAGACUGGAAUUCCUGGUGUAGCGGUGGAAUGCGCAGAUAUCAGGAGGAACACCGGUGGCGAAGGCGGGUCUCUGGGCAGUAACUGACGCUGAGACACGAAAGCGUGGGUAGCAAACAGG
This 253-nucleotide ribosomal RNA is filed under the name uncultured bacterium. Its description in RNAcentral is "partial 16S ribosomal RNA". It matches the Rfam family "Bacterial small subunit ribosomal RNA", at positions 524 to 776 of the family's 1533-position model. The record is from RNAcentral.